CACGGGGGGAGCAAGCGUUGUUCGGAAUCACUGGGCGUAAAGGGCGUGUAGGCGGUCAGGUAAGUGAGAUGUGAAAUGCCCCGGCUCACCCGGGGACCGGCAUCUCAUACUGCUUGGCUUGAGUACGGGAGAGGAUGUGGGAAUUCCUGGUGUAGCGGUGAAAUGCGUAGAUAUCAGGAGGAACACCGGUGGCGAAGGCGCACAUCUGGCCCGAUACUGACGCUGAGGCGCGAAAGCGUGGGGAGCAAACAGG
This 253-nucleotide ribosomal RNA is filed under the name uncultured bacterium. RNAcentral's name for it is "partial 16S ribosomal RNA". It matches the Rfam family "Bacterial small subunit ribosomal RNA", at positions 524 to 776 of the family's 1533-position model. The record is from RNAcentral.